GACGAACCGUGCGAACGUUAUUCGGAAUCACUGGGCCUAAAGCGCGUGUAGGCGGCCCGGCACGUCUCUGGCUGAAAUCCCCCGGCUCAACCGGGGAAGGGGCCGGGAUACGACCGGGCUGGAGGGGGGUAGGGGGGACGGGAACUCCGGGUGGAGCGGUGAAAUGCGUUGAGAUCCGGAGGAACGCCCGCGGCGAAAGCGCGUCCCUGGACCCCGCCUGACGCUGAGACGCGAAAGCCAGGGGAGCGAACGGG
RNAcentral lists this ribosomal RNA (254 nucleotides) under uncultured bacterium. RNAcentral's name for it is "partial 16S ribosomal RNA". It matches the Rfam family "Bacterial small subunit ribosomal RNA", at positions 524 to 776 of the family's 1533-position model. The record is from RNAcentral. RNAcentral also lists the same sequence under 1 other name.